UGGGGGAUAUUGCACAAUGGGCGAAAGCCUGAUGCAGCGACGCCGCGUGGGGGAUGAAGGCCUUCGGGUUGUAAACUUCUUUUGCUCUGAACAAGGCGCACCAUGGGGUGUGUUGAGUGUAGGGGUUGAUUAGCGCCGGCUAACUACGUGCCAGCAGCCGCGGUAAUACGUAGGGCGCGAGCGUUGUCCGGAAUUAUUGGGCGUAAAGGGCUUGUAGGUGGCUGGUUGCGUCUGUCGUGAAAGCUCAUGGCUUAACUGUGGGUGUGCGGUGGGUACGGGCUGGCUUGAGUGCAGUAGGGGAGGCUGGAAUUCCUGGUGUAGCGGUGGAAUACGCAGAUAUCAGGAGGAAUACCGGUGGCGAAGGCGGGUCUCUGGGCUGUUACUGACACUGAGGAGCGAAAGCAUGGGGAGCGAACAGG
Molecule: ribosomal RNA, 419 nt
Filed under: bacterium
Lineage: Bacteria
Description: partial 16S ribosomal RNA
Rfam family: Bacterial small subunit ribosomal RNA
Source: RNAcentral